Molecule: unclassified non-coding RNA, 395 nt
Filed under: soil metagenome
Description: partial contains 5.8S ribosomal RNA, internal transcribed spacer 2, and large subunit ribosomal RNA
Rfam family: 5.8S ribosomal RNA (bases 1-121)
Source: RNAcentral
GAUGAAGAACGCAGCGAACGUGCGAAACGUAAUGUGAAUUGCAGAAUUCAGUGAAUCAUCGAAUCUUUGAACGCAUCUUGCGCUCCUUGGUAUUCCGAGGAGCAUGCCUGUUUGAGUGUCGUGAAUACUCUCAACUUCAACCCUUUUUUCGGAAAGGGAGGAAGGUUGGACUUGGGUGUUUGUUGAAGUGCGAGCUUCGACUCAUCCUAAAUGCAUUAGCGAUCUGCCUCGAUCACACACAAUGUGAUAAUUAAAACUAAAGCAUUGUUUAAUGAUCAAGUCGAGACUGCUUCUAACUGUCGCAAGACAAUAACGUGCAUACAUUUGUGCAUGUCAUUUGACCUCAAAUCAGGUAGGACUACCCGCUGAACUUAAGCAUAUCAAUAAGCGGAGGA